This 505-nucleotide ribosomal RNA is filed under the name uncultured bacterium. RNAcentral's name for it is "partial 16S ribosomal RNA". It matches the Rfam family "Bacterial small subunit ribosomal RNA", at positions 28 to 507 of the family's 1533-position model. The record is from RNAcentral.
GACGAACGCUGGCGGCGUGCCUAAUACAUGCCAGUAGAACGCACAGUUUAUACCGUAGCUUGCUACACCAUAGACUGUGAGUUGCGAACGGGUGAGUAACGCGUAGGUAACCUGCCUGGUAGCGGGGGAUAACUAUUGGAAACGAUAGCUAAUACCGCAUAAUAUUGAUUAUUGCAUGAUAAUUGAUUGAAAGAUGCUAUUGCAUCACUACCAGAUGGACCUGCGUUGUAUUAGCUAGUAGGUGAGGUAACGGCUCACCUAGGCGACGAUACAUAGCCGACCUGAGAAGGUGAUCGGCCACACUGGGACUGAGACACGGCCCAGACUCCUACGGGAGGCAGCAGUAGGGAAUCUUCGGCAAUGGACGAAAGUCUGACCGAGCAACGCCGCGUGAGUGAAGAAGGUUUUCGGAUCGUAAAGCUCUGUUGUAAGAGAAGAACGGGUGUGAGAGUGGAAAGUUCACACUGUGACGGUAUCUUACCAGAAAGGGACGGCUAACUACGUG